UACAGAGGGGGCGAGCGUUGUUCGGAAUUACUGGGCGUAAGGGGCGCGUAGGCGGCCAACUAAGUCAGACGUGAAAUCCCUCGGCUCAACCGGGGAACUGCGUCUGAUACUGGAUGGCUUGAAUUCGGGAGAGGGAUGCGGAAUUCCAGGUGUAGCGGUGAAAUGCGUAGAUAUCUGGAGGAACACCGGUGGCGAAGGCGGCAUCCUGGACCGAGAUUGACGCUGAUGCGCGAAAGCCAGGGGAGCAAACGGG
This 253-nucleotide ribosomal RNA is filed under the name uncultured bacterium. Its description in RNAcentral is "partial 16S ribosomal RNA". It matches the Rfam family "Bacterial small subunit ribosomal RNA", at positions 524 to 776 of the family's 1533-position model. The record is from RNAcentral.